AUUGAACGCUGGCGGCAGGCCUAACACAUGCAAGUCGAGCGGAUGAAGGGAGCUUGCUCCUGGAUUCAGCGGCGGACGGGUGAGUAAUGCCUAGGAAUCUGCCUGGUAGUGGGGGAUAACGUCCGGAAACGGGCGCUAAUACCGCAUACGUCCUGAGGGAGAAAGUGGGGGAUCUUCGGACUUCACGCUAUCAGAUGAGCCUAGGUCGGAUUAGCUAGUUGGUGGGGUAAAGGCCUACCAAGGCGACGAUCCGUAACUGGUCUGAGAGGAUGAUCAGUCACACUGGAACUGAGACACGGUCCAGACUCCUACAGGAGGCCGCGGUGGGGAAUGUUGGAAAGUGGGCGGAAGCCUGAUCCAGCCAUGCCGCGUGUGUGAAGAAGGUCUUCGGAUUGUAAAGCACUUUAAGUUGGGAGGAAGGGCAGUAAGUUAAUACCUUGCUGUGUUGACGGUACCAGCAGAAUAAGCACCGGCUAACUUCGUG
This 484-nucleotide ribosomal RNA is filed under the name uncultured bacterium. RNAcentral's name for it is "partial 16S ribosomal RNA". It matches the Rfam family "Bacterial small subunit ribosomal RNA", at positions 30 to 507 of the family's 1533-position model. The record is from RNAcentral.